UAAGGAAUAUUGCUCAAUGGGAGAAAUCCUGAAGCAGCAACGCCGCGUGGAGGAUGAAGGGUCUAUGACUUGUAAACUCCUGUAACGAAGGAAAAAAUUCCCAUUAGAUGGGAGAUGAUGGUACUUCUGGAGUAAGCCCCGGCUAACUACGUGCCAGCAGCCGCGGUAAUACGUAGGGGGCAAGCGUUGUCCGGACUUACUGGGUGUAAAGGGUGCUCAGGCGGAUUUGUAAGUCAGAGGUGAAAUCUUACAGCUUAACUGUGAAACUGCCUUUGAUACUGCAAGGCUAGAGUAUGGAAGAGAGUGAUGGAAUAUCUGGUGUAGCAGUGAAAUGCGUAGAUAUCAGAUAGAACACCAAUGGCGAAGGCAGUCACUUGGUCCAUUACUGACGCUAAAGCACGAAAGCGUGGGUAGCAAACA
This 420-nucleotide ribosomal RNA is filed under the name uncultured bacterium. Its description in RNAcentral is "bacterial SSU rRNA". It matches the Rfam family "Bacterial small subunit ribosomal RNA", at positions 355 to 774 of the family's 1533-position model. The record is from RNAcentral.